AACCUGUUAAAUGCCUGUAUGUCAAGCAGUACACAAGAAGAAACAUUUCUGGCAUCUGAAUUCAUGGGGAGGAGGGCAAGGUGCAUAGUUCCAAAGCCAUUAAGCUCCACAGCCAUGUAAAAAAAAAAGAAUAAUGACUCAGGACUCUUCAUUCCGGCUUUACCUGAGCUUUGUAUAGAGAGAUGCCUGUCUUUUAUUUAAUAAACUGUUGUACUUUCAUGACACAGAGGCUGUCUGCAAAUACCCAAAUGUGGUAAUGAUAUUCAUAGCUGACUGUUAGAUAAGAUCAGCCAUCACAUGGACUUAAAAUACCUUCUCUUUAAUUUCGUACAAGAUGCAAAGUUCAAUGUUAAGAAUAUCCUUUAAUGAUUUGCCCUUUUGACAGCUUCCUGUACCCUUGAAUGUCUUGAUUUUUUCUAUGCUGCCUUUGAUUUCUUUCUUGGAGAAUUGCAUUUACUGGGCAAAGCCUAGUUCAUGGGUAAGGAACCAGUGUAACCCUCCAGAGUCCAGAUGUUGUUGGACUCCCAUCAUCCCUGAACAUUGACCAGGCUGGUUUAUGAAUAUAUCCUUCUGAUGAGAGCUGAAGACCAAAACAUAGAGAGGGCUACACUUUCCCCAUCCCUGGUCUAGGUGAUUGGACAUUUGUUCAGCUUGGCGUGUAAACAACAGUAUGCACUACAAGGUUUAAACAUAGUUUCUUGACAAAUCUGCCUUCUGCAGUGGCAAUAUUUAUAUUUAUUUUUGGCAGUGUUCUUUGUAAUGUAUCUACUACAGAUUUAUAUGCCAGUAGAUUGUGAAGAAGCUACCUUGGGAAAGGUGACAGGGAAAGGAAUGGAGACAGCAGUGGGUGCUCCCACAGAUGUGUGGAGAUUCCCACCUCCCGUUGAGGUGGGAUGUGACUAGUCCUAAGAUCCCCAGUGAGAAAAAGAUGCUCUGUACAACUACAUCUAUGGAACCACCUGCCACAACUACCCUGCUGUCUUCCCCAAGGUAGCUUUCUUUGUCUAGGGGGUAGGAGGAGGAGGAGGCAGUAGCAGAUGCUCAAGGGGCUCAAAAACCCAACAUAACUAUACCAUUUUGGAAUAGGGAGGUAAUCACUCCUCCCUAUUUCCAGUCUCAACCUAUGGAGUGAAAUUAUACUGAGUUUUCUAGUCACAGAGUCUAGUGGUUAAGUUUGACUAUUGUGCAUAAUUAAAACCUCAACCCCUAUCUUUCCUAAUGAUGAGUAUAUUCAUAAUAGCCCUCACUAAAAUGAUCUGCCACUGUGAUAAAAUGCAAUUUACUGUGAGACAGUGGGAUGCUUCUAUCAUUGGCAGUGAUGCGCAUGAGGAUUCAACUGAUUAAAGCAGGUGGGAGAGCAGGUGGCACUGCCUCCCAUACCGGAUGUGCUUGCCUGCUGUCCACACAUUAGAUGUGAUGGAAGAGGAGCUAUAGUGCAAUGGAAGUUGGGUCUGCACUGACCCUAAAUCACUGUUACCUCCAACAUGUGACACCAUCUUUCUCUCCCGCCACACCUUUGCAGCCUUGCGUGAGCAAGUUAUAACCAUCUCACAAUGCCCUACUGGGCUAAUUUGAUCAUAUUCUGAAGAGUCAAUAUUUUUAGUUUCUGUUUAAUUCCAACAUGGGUGAGUUGCUUCACAUCAUUUGGCAUUGUAUUAAUGUUAAUGCCUUGCUUAGCAUUCAUUUUAAACGAUUGCGCAGUAGAAAUUUGCCAUCUUCACAGCAAGCGGAAGCUUUCUGCUCCUUUAAUUACCCGUGCAUGAUUCCUCAUGCUACGCAUUGGACAAGUGUGUCAGCUGCUGUGAAGGAUAGGUGCUUAAUCAAUUAUGGAUUACAGAACUUCACAAGAAGACUUAAUCGCAAGGGACUUGGUAUUGCUUAGAAAUGCUCUAACCAGCUUUUGUUUUAACCGAGUAAAUUUUCCAGAUUUUCAAUUUGCCCUCUUAGAAAUAUUAAGCGAUUGGGGUGUGGGGAGAAAGCUUCAGUUGUAUAGAUUCCAUGUGUCUGUUUCAGCGUACAGACAAAUCUGGCAUAUAGGUCCACUCUUCUGCCACUGACAGCCAUCCACCUCCAAUGUAGUGGUGAAGCGGCAGCAUUCCAUAUCAUGCUAUCUCCAUAUGGUCUAAAUAAUGCAUCUGCUAAUGGUGUGGCCUUUAGCUGCAAUUUCCUGACAUUUUGGAGUGUCUGUGAACAUUGAAAGCCCUUAACACAGCAUGCAAAGCAGAAAGCUUUUUUUAUUAAUUGAACCAUCACUGUACCCAAGACUACUGGGGAAAGGGCUUCAGAGGCAGCAAUCAGAUUAUGGAAUGCCCUACCAGAGAGGCAGAUUUUUUGUGUUCUUUUUGGUACCAGAUGAAUACCUUUUUAUUUAUGCAGGCUUUUAAAUGGUGAACUUUUUGAAUUCAUCCAAUUUUAGGUCCGCUGUAUAAUUUUCAUGAUGCUGUUUUACCCUCUGCUGAUGUUUGGUGUGUUUUUUUUAAUGCCAAGUGUUUAAGCUAUAAUUUGUUUACUUCUUUUAUUGUUCCAUUUUUUAUUUAUUGUAUCCUUUAUUAUUUCCAGAGAACACUGUUUGGGGACAGCACAUAAAUGGCUGUUAAUACAAAAAUAAACAGUAUUUGAUUUAUGGGCCCUAAUGUGGAGAUCCUAAUGUACAGCAUCAUCGUAAUUUACACAUUGUUGCUUACAGGGAUUUCUUGCCUGCUAAUUAAUUAAAUGAUUGAUGCUGGUAAUUCAGAUGGCAGCUGAUGCAGAGGAGUUGGGCCUACCUGGGUUAAAUGUCUCCCAUGCCCAACCAGAUUAUCAGAGCUCCUUGGUGCACCUCCAGCCCAAAGGCUAUACACAUGCAUUGCCCCCCACUUUCUGCUAUUCUUCAGGGGGUAGGAAUCCAAAAAGAGCAAUCUAGCUCCUAUUUCUGCAUGUGGAUUGUCUUUGCCUUGUUGGUCCUCUGGUCUUCAAAUCUGUGAAUCUAAUAAAUUUUCACUCACAAGAAAAUAAACACAUGACAAUAAAAUAGCCAUUAAAUAAGAUAAAUGUGUGUGGGGGGAGGGGGGGAGGCCAUUCAAACAGAAGACAAUUGAGGAAUUGAAUCUUCUUCUUUUUUUAAAGUCAACUUACACUUUGCUUUCUGCUCCACAGAAAAUGUAUUCCUAAAAAAAAGAUUUAAUGCGUUGCUGGUGUAGAGAAAUCAAUUCUUUCAAAUCAAUGGUAAUUUUGUAGGCAGUUAGUACUUAUUCACAUGAAUGAGUGUGCCUCUGCUGGUGUUCUGCAAAAAUAAUCAGUGGCAGAACAAUAUUAAACUUUGGAGCUUAAUUUGCAAGUACGUAAAAUAGCAUCUAUUGAUGCUCAUGCCUCUUUUAUGUCUUUAUUGAAAUGUCUCCCUUUUCUACAAGCACAAGACAAUGGACAGCACUCAGAUGUAUCUCUCUCUGUGUAGGUAAUGAACCCCCUUCAUUCUUUGCCUGGGUAGUUUAUCCUGGGGGUGCUGCCUGGGAGGUUUAGGGUGCACAAGGUGCUGUAAUAAUUAGUAGGGUGUAAAUUAUUUGGAAAAUCAUACAGUUGACCCAAUAAACUAGCACCAUACCAUUGCUUAAAACGUUGGAAUAAUUUUGAAAUGCAACAAGCCCCAUAAGUAUGCAGCACAACAUGUGUUAAGUCAAAGGUGUUCAGCUGGUGACUGAAAGAAGGUUAGGGCACCACCAUCACAGUUUUUAAAUGUUCUUGCUCCUUUCAGUAUCAUUGCCUUUCCUUUCAGCCAAGGCUAUGCAAACUUGGUACAUCAUGAAAGGAAGAGGAGAAAUGUAUUUUGAUCCAGUAUGAUGUCCACCAUCAAAGGAAGUGGUGGGCCAAGCAAGAUGUAGCCCAGUAGGCCUGCGGUUGUGUAACAGAGGGAGAUAAAAGAAAGUGAGGAACUUGGACAGGGACCAAAAUAUUGGUUCAAGACUAUGGUUAAUAGUCCUGCAGAACAUGUUGCCUGAGAAGCAAUUGGCAGAGCUUUAUAAUCUAAGUCCAGAUGAAACCCCACCUCACCCCGGAGUGCUGCAUCUGCCUUGUUAAAGGGCUGGUCUGCACAAGAAAAGUGAGCAAGAGAGAUGUGCAGAUACUGAAAGAGGGAGGGCAGAGGAAGAUAGAGCCCACUUGAGACUGGCCGGGGGCAGCUAAUCUCAGUGUAGGUUCCCCUACACUGGGCACCAAGCCAAGGGGGUGCAAAAUGUUGAUCACCACCACCACCUAUAUUUAUACAAGUACCUACUGAGAGGUUCAUUUAAAAAGCAAUUUUUGUCCUUGCUUAGGACAUCACCAAAGUCCACCCCUGCCAGGGGCUGGGUCCCCACCCUCACAUGUUGGGGGAAAGACUGCUGUCGUAGUCAAGGGUGAUUGAAGUUCUAUAAUUUAUUUACUUAGAUCCAUGGAGGGAGUCAUUUAGUACAACACAUUAUUUGGAUGGGUACUCAGAACUUUGAGACUUGGUCUCCAUGGCAUAGUGGCAGUUUG
Molecule: long non-coding RNA, 4491 nt
Filed under: Podarcis lilfordi (Lilford's wall lizard)
Lineage: Eukaryota; Metazoa; Chordata; Lepidosauria; Squamata; Lacertidae
Source: RNAcentral